RNAcentral lists this ribosomal RNA (442 nucleotides) under uncultured bacterium. RNAcentral describes it as "partial 16S ribosomal RNA". It matches the Rfam family "Bacterial small subunit ribosomal RNA", at positions 338 to 795 of the family's 1533-position model. The record is from RNAcentral.
CCUACGGGAGGCAGCAGUGAGGAAUAUUGGUCAAUGGGCGAAAGCCUGAUGGAGCACCGCCGCGUGCAGGAUGAAGGCCUUCGGGUUGUAAACUGCUUUUAUAAGCGAGAAAUAUGAUGGUAACUUAUGAAUAAGGAUCGGCUAACUACGUGCCAGCAGCCGCGGUCAUACGUAGGAUCCGAGCAUUAUCCGGAGUGACUGGGUGUAAAGAGUUGCGUAGGUGGCAUAAUAAGUAGCUAGUGAAAUCUGGUGGCUCAACCAUUCAGACUAUUAGCUAAACUGUUAAGCUCGAGACCGUUAGGGGUAACUGGAAUUUCUAGUGUAGGAGUGAAAUCCGUAGAUAUUAGAAGGAACACCAAUAGCGUAGGCAGGUUGCUGGGACGGUUCUGACACUAAGGCACGAAAGCGUAGGGAGCAAACGGGAUUAGAUACCCUUGUAGUC